UGCCCAGCAACUCAUAUCCCUACCUCCACGCGGUACCGGCCGGAAACUAUGAGCAACCUUAGGGAAGAUCGGGUAACCAACCCCGGUGGAAACUUUGGUCGUAGGCUAACAGGGAAGG
Non-coding RNA from Aedes albopictus (Asian tiger mosquito), 118 nucleotides. NCBI's taxonomy places the organism in Eukaryota, Metazoa, Arthropoda, Insecta, Diptera, Culicidae. The record is from Rfam.